UGGGGAAUAUUGCACAAUGGGCGCAAGCCUGAUGCAGCCAUGCCGCGUGUGUGAAGAAGGCCUUCGGGUUGUAAAGCACUUUCAGCGAGGAGGAAGGGUAGUGUGUUAAUAGCACAUUGCAUUGACGUUACUCGCAGAAGAAGCACCGGCUAACUCCGUGCCAGCAGCCGCGGUAAUACGGAGGGUGCAAGCGUUAAUCGGAAUUACUGGGCGUAAAGCGCACGCAGGCGGUUUGUUAAGUCAGAUGUGAAAUCCCCGCGCUUAACGUGGGAACUG
RNAcentral lists this ribosomal RNA (276 nucleotides) under uncultured bacterium. RNAcentral's name for it is "partial 16S ribosomal RNA". It matches the Rfam family "Bacterial small subunit ribosomal RNA", at positions 355 to 623 of the family's 1533-position model. The record is from RNAcentral.